Homo sapiens (human) is the source of this 272-nucleotide long non-coding RNA. The record is from Ensembl. Lineage: Eukaryota; Metazoa; Chordata; Mammalia; Primates; Hominidae.
CAAGGGCACUGCGACAGCUCAGCACCCACCACAGAUCAGCAACAGGACAACCCGAGCGCGGAGACACAGACGGGAAGCGUGUGGGGUCCUGGGAUAGGCCCAACUCAAUGAUUUCCCCUCCCUGGGGCUAAGACACCACUGAUGUGAAGACGCAGGAGACAGGACAACCCCCCGUGAAGGGUCCUGUCCACCCACCACUGAGGCCUGGCCCGACUUUCUACAAGACCCUGCUGGGGGGGAAGUGCCCCUCGGAGUAAAGGAAAUACAGCCCC